This 211-nucleotide unclassified non-coding RNA is filed under the name Oidiodendron sp. RNAcentral's name for it is "partial contains small subunit ribosomal RNA, internal transcribed spacer 1, and 5.8S ribosomal RNA". The stretch from base 1 to 46 matches the Rfam family "Eukaryotic small subunit ribosomal RNA", at positions 1786 to 1831 of the family's 1831-position model. The record is from RNAcentral. Lineage: Eukaryota; Fungi; Ascomycota; Leotiomycetes; Myxotrichaceae.
AAGUCGUAACAAGGUCUCCGUAGGUGAACCUGCGGAGGGAUCAUUACAGAGUUCUCGCCCUGACGGGUAGAUCUCCCACCCACUGUUAUCGUUACCGUCGUUGCUUUGGCGGGCCGCCAGGCCCGCCGGAGGCCCCCCAAACUCUGAAUGUUAGUGUCGUCUGAGUACUAUACAAUAGUUAAAACUUUCAACAACGGAUCUCUUGGUUCUG